CACACGACUCUCGGCAACGGAUAUCUCGGCUCUCGCAUCGAUGAAGAACGUAGCGAAAUGCGAUACCUGGUGUGAAUUGCAGAAUCCCGCGAACCAUCGAGUCUUUGAACGCAAGUUGCGCCCGAGGCCUCUUGGCCAAGGGCACGCCUGCCUGGGCGUCACGC
RNAcentral lists this ribosomal RNA (164 nucleotides) under Poa trivialis. RNAcentral's name for it is "5.8S ribosomal RNA". It matches the Rfam family "5.8S ribosomal RNA". Rfam says of the family: 5.8S ribosomal RNA (5.8S rRNA) is a component of the large subunit of the eukaryotic ribosome. RNAcentral also lists the same sequence under 2 other names. The record is from RNAcentral. Lineage: Eukaryota; Viridiplantae; Streptophyta; Magnoliopsida; Poales; Poaceae.